RNAcentral lists this ribosomal RNA (465 nucleotides) under uncultured bacterium. RNAcentral describes it as "bacterial SSU rRNA". It matches the Rfam family "Bacterial small subunit ribosomal RNA", at positions 43 to 505 of the family's 1533-position model. The record is from RNAcentral.
CAGGCCUAACACAUGCAAGUCGAACGGUAACAGGUCUUCGGAUGCUGACGAGUGGCGAACGGGUGAGUAAUACAUCGGAACGUGCCCAAUCGUGGGGGAUAACACAUCGAAAGAUGUGCUAAUACCGCAUAAGAUCUACGGAUGAAAGCGGGGGAUCGCAAGACCUCGCGCGAAUGGAGCGGCCGAUGGCAGAUUAGGUAGUUGGUGGGGUAAAGGCCUACCAAGCCGACGAUCUGUAGCUGGUCUGAGAGGACGACCAGCCACACUGGGACUGAGACACGGCCCAGACUCCUACGGGAGGCAGCAGUGGGGAAUUUUGGACAAUGGGCGCAAGCCUGAUCCAGCAAUGCCGCGUGCAGGAUGAAGGCCUUCGGGUUGUAAACUGCUUUUGUACGGAGCGAAAAGGUUUUCUCUAAUACAGAAGGCCCAUGACGGUACCGUAAGAAUAAGCACCGGCUAUUCUGC